This 301-nucleotide ribosomal RNA is filed under the name uncultured bacterium. Its description in RNAcentral is "partial 16S ribosomal RNA". It matches the Rfam family "Bacterial small subunit ribosomal RNA", at positions 509 to 807 of the family's 1533-position model. The record is from RNAcentral.
CAGCCGCCGCGGUAAUACGAAGGGUGCAAGCGUUAAUCGGAAUUACUGGGCGUAAAGCGUGCGUAGGCGGUGAGUUAAGUCUGCUGUGAAAUCCCCGGGCUCAACCUGGGAAUGGCAGUGGAUACUGGCUCGCUAGAGUGUGUCAGAGGAUGGUGGAAUUCCCGGUGUAGCGGUGAAAUGCGUAGAGAUCGGGAGUAACAUCAGUGGCGAAGGCGGCCAUCUGGGACAACACUGACGCUGAGGCACGAAAGCGUGGGGAGCAAACAGGAUUAGAUACCCGCGUAGUCCCUGUCUCUUAUAC